GCAUAUCAAUAAGCGGAGGAAAAGAAACUAACAAGGAUUCCCCUAGUAACGGCGAGUGAAGCGGGAAGAGCUCAAAUUUGAAAUCUGGUGGCCUCAGGUCAUCCGAGUUGUAAUCUAUAGAAGUGUUUUCCGUGCUGGCUCAUGUACAAGUCCCUUGGAACAGGGCGUCAUAGAGGGUGAGAAUCCCGUCCUUGACAUGAACUACCAGUGCUCUGUGAUACAUUUUCAACGAGUCGAGUUGUUUGGGAAUGCAGCUCAAAAUGGGUGGUAAAUUCCAUCUAAAGCUAAAUAUUGGCGAGAGACCGAUAGCGAACAAGUACCGUGAGGGAAAGAUGAAAAGCACUUUGGAAAGAGAGUUAAACAGUAUGUGGAAUUGUUGAAAGGGAAACGAUUGAAGUCAGUCGUGCUCUUUGGAUUCAGCCGGUUCUGCCGGUGUACUUCCUUUGAGUGGGGUCAACAUCAGUUUUGAUCGCUGGAUAAAGGCUGGAGGAACGUAGUACCCUCGGGUAAACUUAUAGCCUCCUGUCACAUACAGCGGUUGGGACUGAGGAACGCAGCACGCCUUUAUGGCCGGGAUUCGUCCACGUACGUGCUUAGGAUGUUGACAUAAUGGCUUUAAACGACCCGUCUUGAAACACGGACC
This 643-nucleotide ribosomal RNA is filed under the name uncultured fungus. RNAcentral's name for it is "eukaryotic LSU rRNA". It matches the Rfam family "Eukaryotic large subunit ribosomal RNA", at positions 38 to 667 of the family's 3401-position model. Lineage: Eukaryota; Fungi. The record is from RNAcentral.